This 14351-nucleotide long non-coding RNA is filed under the name Gossypium barbadense (sea-island cotton). RNAcentral describes it as "long non-coding RNA (GBAR_LNC011705)". Lineage: Eukaryota; Viridiplantae; Streptophyta; Magnoliopsida; Malvales; Malvaceae. The record is from RNAcentral.
UUUUGCCAUGCCAUUGCGAUUAAUGAACAGAGUAGCAUACUUUUUUUUGGACAAGGUGCAAGUUCUCUUUUUCAAAUUUAUAGACACGUACAAUGAUGCUAAUCUAUGCUAGUGCUGGUGCCCAGUUUAUAGUCUAAUAUUCCCCAACAUUAGUUUCAAAUUACCAAAUCUGCUUAACGUAGGAACUUUCAGUAGGAUCCAAAAUGAUCAUAUAAGAAAGCAUGGAUAAGCAUAAUAGGUCAUAAUUUAUAACUAAUGUGGAAAUUGAGAUACAUGAUUACUAGACAAGAAAUAGAUUCCAACUGGAAAAUGCAUACAGGAGUAGACUCUAGACUUCACUAAAAUGACAAACUCGAAUUCAGAUCACUUUAAUUAUGUGAAUGAAUACGAUAGACUACAAUGGAACCCCUAAAGACUCAAUGCAGAUAAUUGAUUCCCUUUAUUCUUAGAUUUAUUGGAAGUUUCAUAGCCAAGCAUGUUCAAGGACGUGGGUUUGUUCCUGCAAUGCCAGCACCAUGACCUGCUGGAAUUGGCACCUCAAAACCAGGGUUUGGAACGAAUGUGUCAUCACCACCUGGAAUCUGGCGAUUUCGGCCAAUUGUGCUGCCAACGUGGCCGCCACUGCUGCCGGUGUGGGUGCCAGUGCCGAUAGUGUGUGGAUUGUGAUGUUUGAAAACUGGUGGCAGCAACACUCGUCCAAGGCCUGGAAUGAGCACACUACGGUCAUGUUUUAGAUAUUCAGGCUGUUUCAUUUGAUCAUCAUUCUUCGAGAUGUCACGUGCUGCAAUGGCUUGCCCAGCAAUAACAAACAGAAUGCUGAGGAUGAAAACGUGAGAAAGCAAGGAACUAAUUUUGCAAGCCAUUAUCAGAGUAAGUAAGAGUGAGAGCUAGGAUUGGUUCUGAUAUGAUGGAGAGAAGGGAUUAAAUAAUGCUUCUUAAAGAGAAGGUCUAAGUGAGUUGGUUGAUCAAUUGGCGGUGAGUUAGAAAGAGCAUUCCAUUUUGAAAGCACCAUUGAAGGAGACGUUCCAUAAAAACAGAAGCAAAGCAUUCAAUAAUGCAGCAUGAAUUGCAUGGGUAGGUUAGGUGGCUUAGGGUUUGCCAUGUUGGGUGAGGUUUAUGGGGUAGUUAUGAGAUUUUUCUCUUCAAAGGCUACGUAUCUAUACUAAAAACGCUUAGAUUAUAUUUACGUUAUGUUUUUAUAUUAUAUUUUUGACUAAUUCGUUCUUUCAUCAUAAUUCUAUCGAAAAUUUAGAUGAAUAUACAUCUGUCAUGUAAGAUUUACUUGCCUUUCUCCACAACUUAUAAUUAUCUUUUUUUUUUUUUUGUUUUGGUUUAGGAUUUAAGCAAUUCAACUUAAUAUUAAUUGAAAACAUGUAAACAAAAUCAUAUAAAAAUAUUUGACAUAGGAGUGAUAAUAGCUGACACAAAAGCUUUGUUAUGUUGUAAAUUCAAUGAAUAAUAGGCAUGUAUAACAUACAAUGAAAAAAAUGUGCUUUUUUAUAAAUAUAAUAUUAUCAUGUACAUAAACUUUAACUAUAGCUCCAAUCAAAUCUGGGUAAAGAAAUUUUUUAAUACCAUAUUAAAAUAGAUAUAAACUUAUUUGUUUUUUAAAAAAAUUAAAUUGAUUAAAAAAAAACAUAAUUUAUUAUUGGUGAGAAUAUGGUCUAAGCACUUAUACUUUUUACACUUUGGAAUUUAAUUCCUCUACUUAUAUUUUUAGUAAUUUAUUUCACGUAUUUUUAAAUUUAUUAAUAAAAUAUUUUAAAAUAAAAAAAUAUUUACUUGAUAGUUAUAUAACAAAAACAAAUGAUAUUAUAAUAGGAUUAAAUUUAAUAAAAAAAAUUGACAAUUAAACUUAUAUUUUUAAAUUUAAAAAAUAAAGAGACUAAAUUGAAAGAUUAAAUUAUAUGAAAAAAUAUAUAACGUAUUUAAAUUUAAAUUUGAAUAUGAUGACCCACAAAUAGUGACUUGCAAAAUGUUGAGUGCUACCAAAUAAAACGGAGCAAUAAAGGAUUUUAUGCAUAAAGCCUAGAGGUGUAAACCAUUUUGCUCACAUGGAUAUAUUCAAUGUGUGUAUAAAUAUGGGUGAAAUGAGAUUUGUCUAUUGAUUAUAAAGCAAUGCUUAUUUAACUUGCAUUUUUACAUUUAAAAAAAACUAAGGCUCCUUUAUAUUUUUUAAUUUUUUUUGUUUUUAUUUUAAAGCCGAUAUUUUUAUUUUUUAAAUUAAAAAACAUCUUUGGUAAAAAGAAAUAUUUUCAGUAAUAUAAAAUUACGAUUCAUAUUUAUUUCCUAUAAUAGAAACAUGAGAAAAAAAUAAAAAUAAAAAUUGCAUUUAUAUAUUUUGGAUCUAUGGUAUUUAAAAUUUCUUGAAAAAAAAAUUCUUUUUCGGGUUUGAAUUAGAAUCAAUUCAAUAAUUAAAUUUAAAUUUAUUUUUAAAAUUUUUUAGUAAAAAUAAUUUUUUAUUAUUUCCUAAUUUUUAUAUAUUUUUAUUUUUAUUUUCAAAAUGUUGUUUUAAUAAAAUUUCAACUAAACAUCUUUUAGUAUUUCUUAUUUAAGAAAAACAAAAACUAAAAUGAAAAAGUUUCUAUUUCGUGACACCAAAUGGAGACUAAAUUUUGUUCAGUUUCAUCUUAACUUGUUUGUAUUUAUUUUCAAUAUAUAAAAGAGCAUUAUCAAGUCCAGGAGCCACUGUCCCUAGCCAUGAAGAUUUAACACUUUCGGCCUUUCUUUUUUUAGCAAAGCGAAAUUUCGUUUCAAGGUAGAGGAGCUACAACCCUGUAAGAGUAGUAAGAUCAUGAGGGGGAGACACUACCCACCUAUUACCACGGUGAUAUCGGUUCGGUCAAAUUUUUAAAUUUUUUAAUUUGUCUAUCAUAAUUUGAUUCCAUUCUUGAUUUUUCAUAUAAUUUUUUAUUUUGAUUUUCUAGACUUAUCUUGAUGGCAUGAAGACAAAAUUUUAAAAUUUUUUCAUAAAUAUUUCUAAAAAAAAUAGUUUUUCAAAAACUUUUAAAUUAUUUUAACUAUUUUAAAUAUAAAAUAUUUAUUUUUAUAUCAUGAAAAAUUAAUGUUCAGUUUGUUUGCUAGGAAAAUGUUUUCUGGAAAAUAAUUUUUGAAAAAUGAUUUACUUUUAUAGAAAUGAUUUACUUUUCUGGUGUUUGGAUGAAUUUGUGUAAAAUAUUUUCUGUUGUUUAGCAGAUUUCCUAAAAAUAUUUUCUGGAAAAGUUAUUUUUACAUAUAUUAAUAAAUUUAUAUAUAUAUAUAUAUAUAUUAAUAAUUUAUAUUUUUAAAUUGUUUUUACAUAUAUUGCAAUGAUAUAUUUAUAAAUAAAUAAAUCAAAUUAAAUAUAUAAUAAUACUUAAUUAAUUGUAAUAAGUUAAAUAAAUUAUUUGUAAUUGUGUUACAAAAAAAAUAAGGAUUGAAUAAUUAUAAAUUAGCAUCCAAACCACAAUUAAUAGGAAUUAUACGGUUGAUGAACCAUGUCUUAUUAAGAAAAGAUGAAACCAAAAAUAUGAAACUUGAAAUAAGAUUCGUAUUUGACAUUAAAGUGAACCAGGGUCUCGUACAAAUAUCCAUACAACAAAAUUGUGGGUAUAUAUGUUGCUGUAUUCCAUAUCUAAAUGUCAAAGACAUAUAAAUUGUUAUAUAUUGCAUUUUAUAUAAUAUCAAGAUCUGCUAUACAAGCAUAUACACAAUUGAAGAGGGUAGUUACGUUAAAAAUGCCUACAAAAAUGAAAAGCAAUUCCUGUAUGCCUACAAAAAUGCCUACAAAAAUCAAUUCAAGAAGAACCCUGGUAGAUAUGCCUGGCAACACUGGAAGCAAUUCCUAGAUAACCUGAGCAACAUUUACACCCUGUUGAUGUUUAACAAAAUGAAAAGCAAUUAAUGAGACAUGAAGAAUGUAUAAUAAUUGCUAAUAGAGAGAUAAGUUUGUUCGUAAAUGGUUUCGAUUUGUUAAAACUGCAAACUUUGGAGUACCUGACUUGACGACGUUGAUAUUGAACUUCUCGCUGUUAAGAAUUUGAGAAUUUUUUGGACAUUAUUUAGUAUAACUCUAUCUUCCUCAGUUAUUGAAGGCAAAAGUCCUGCUGGUUUGAAGGGUCCAACUAUUGGAACCAAGCUAAACACUGGGGCAACAUUUCUUACUCCCAACAUUGACAUUAUUUGAACCAACUGUUCCCUGAUAACGAUAUGUUUGGCAAUGCUUUUGAAAAAUGUUUUUGAAAAGUGCUGUGGAAAAGUACUUUUAAGGAGUGCUUUUGAAAAGUGUUUUUGAAAAUUUGAAUGUUUGUUAUUACUGUCAAAAAGUACUUUUGAGAAAUAAAAUGUUCAUUUUAGACAUGAUAUUAUAAAGUAACAAAUAUGUAUUUAAAUAAUGUUCAAAUUAGUUAAUAUUAUGAUAUUUUAGCAAUAAUAUAAAAAUAAUUUAUUAUAACUUAUUGUUAAUAUUUUAAUAUAUAAUAUUAAUUUUAAAUAUUUUUAAGUAAUUUAAAUUUAAUUAGAAUAUAUAAACUAUAUUUAAAUAUUUAAAUAUAAUAAUUAAAUAUUUGUAGUUAGAUAUUGACAUAAUUGUAUUAUUUUAAAAAUAUUUUUUUUAUUUUUAAUUAAUGAUUUUAACACAUUUGUAUUAUUUUAUUUUAAAAUGUACUUUGAAUAUAUAACUCAUAUUAAAUAUUAACAUAACAUAGAAAACAUAAACCUAGCAAAUUAAAAUAUUACAUAUAUUUGGUUUAAAGUUUCAAAAAGGGAUAAUAUUUAUAUACCAAAUAUAAAUACUAAAAAUUUUAUUUUUUUAUAGCAUAUCUUGUUAAUUCCAUUUCAAAACCACUUGAAUUGUUUGAUUCACCGUCAUCAUCACCAUCAUCAUCGUCAUCAUCAUCAUCACUUUCUCAACCAUGCGCAUUUUCUGAAUCAAUAAUAUUCUCAUAUGCCCAGUUAAUAUCUUCGUAUUCCAUAAAAUCUGCAUUAUUUUGACCGACAUGUUUUCUGAUAAAAUUGUGUAUCGCCAUUGUAGAAACAAUGAUCAUCGUUUGCUUUUCAAAACUAUAACUUGUCAUAUCCCUUAAAAUGAUCCAUUUUUUUUCAAAACACCAAAAGUUCGUUCAAUCACACUACGUAAUGAUGAAUGUGAAUGAUUGAAUAUCUCUUCUUGACCAGAUACCGGUCUACCUCUACGAAAGUCAAGUAAAUGAUAUCACUGACCUCUAUAUGGUCCAAGAUAACCUUUCAUUUGAGGAUAUCCAGAAUCAACAAGAUAAUAUUUUCCUACAUGUCAUAAUAUAACAAACAAUUAAUUCAAGAAUUAUUUUUUAUAAAAAUUAUCAAUUAAAGAAAUUUUACUUUAUUAUUUAAGAAAGAAAGAAAUAAAUGAAAUACCUAACCAUUUGGUGGGUGCGGAAAUUUGUAUUUUGGAUCUCGAAUUGCAUCAAGAAAUAUUCUAGUGUCAUGUGCCGGUCAUUUCCAUCCAGCCAUGACAAAGGUGAAACACAUAUUAAAAUCACACACUACCAUAACAUUUUGACAUUUUCUUCCAAUAUAGGGAAUUUGUUCAUUUGGUGGAAGAAUAGCGGCAAUAUGAGUACCAUCAAUUGCACCAUGCAAUCUUGAACAAAUAAUCAUAUUAGUCUCUUGCAUAUUUUUAGUUGACCAAAAAUAUUAAAAUAUAAUAAUAUAAAGUUAAAUUUUAACCUUAAAAUGCGGCAUAUAUCUAGAAUCAUUACAUAUUUGUUCGAGUAUUGAGCUAAAAAAAGGAUCUUCGGGUGCAAUUAGAUCAGCGGCCAUCCUUGAAACUUUCUCAAGCACAAUUGCAAAGUAUCGACUUAUUGUUGAUCCAGACCUUUGAAAUCUUUCUCGACAUUGGAAAACUUUUGCACCGGUGCCCAAGAUGUAUAAAAAAAUUCCCGACAUUUCACUAGAAGAUAUGUUUCUUAAAGUUUGCAAGUUGUAUCUUGUCUCCAAAACUCUCAACAAACUUGUGAAUACCAUUUUAGACAUUCUAAAAUUAAUCAUACAAUGUGAUUCGUGACCGUCAAGGAUCUCUCGGAUCCAUGUCUCCCCUGUCUAUUUUGAAUCCAUGCAUAGUUGCUUCAAUAUAUACUUCUCGUAAUAUAAUUGCACAGAAGAAGAUGCAACAACAAACAAUCGGUUAAAACAUUCCACGUGUUGUAAAAUAUCUUUCUUUUCCCUUUCAUCAUCACUUUCAUCACCACUGGAAUUCUCAACUAUACUCAUCACCUGUGAAUAAAUUUUAUAUCCAAAAUCAUAUAUAAACAACUAUUGAUAAAACUAAUUUAGUAUAAAUAAGUAGAACAUAAAUUUAAUAUCCAAAAAUCAAACAUAAUCAAUUAUUGAUAAAACUACUCCUAAGCAUAAAUAAUUAGACCAUAAAUUCAAUGUCCAAAUACCAACCAUAAACAACUAUUAAUAAAACAAGAUUACACAUAAAUAAGUAGAACAUAAAUUCAAUAUCCAAAAACUAAACAUAAACAAUCAUUGAUAAAACUAGAUUACACAUAAAUAAGUAAAACAUAAAUUUAAUAUCCAAAAACCAAACAUAAAUAACUAUUGAUAAAACUAGUUUAGCAUUGUUGUUUAGUAACAUAAUAUAUAUCUUUGAACCCUAGAAGAUUAGAAAAUUUUCAACUAUCCUCCAUUUCCGUCUUAAGCCACAAAGCUCUAAUCUUGGGAUUAAUUGAUAAAAACAUAAUUCGCUUGUCCUUAUUGAGCAAUAAUUUAAGUAAGAAAAAAUAUAGCGGGCUAGCUUCUGGAACUUCUUCCGACAUGCUGUCAAGCACCUUGACUACUUGUGGAAUACCAUAUGGAUCCAUAACAGGAGUCAAACUAGAUGUGGCUUGACUCAUAUUGUCAGCUGCAUUGCAUAAUUUUUCUAUUUGACUGGACAAUCUUGCAGCCCCUCCAAUUUGCUUUGAGGAUUUCUUUCUUCUUAUUUUAAAAUGUGAACUUGAUAUCUCAGGGUUUUUUCUUUUUUGACCGUUUCCAUCAAUUUGAACAUCAUUUGAAAUGUGAACAUCAUUUAAAAUGUGAACAUCAUUUCUCACAUUUUCUUCUUCAUUCUUUUCAAGUAUUUCAUUGUUAAUAUCCUAAAAAAAAUCACUACGGAGUGUACCAGAAGAAAGUGCCCAUGCUUUAUCACCUGUUGCAACUAUCCCCAUGAAUAUUUGGUCCAACUUCUCUUCGAAUUCAAGAUCAAUGCUCGAUGCUCUAAAUUUUUAAGCUUUAGGCACAACCUACAUAUAAAAUGAUAGUUUAAUAACAGUAAUUAUCAAUAACCUCAUAAAUAAAAAGAAAACAAAAAUAUUCAGAAUUAUUAAUGUACCUUUAGCCUACUCUUCCACCAAUCAUCCGAUGCAUCAACGGUUCUUUUUAUAGGAUUCCACCCUAGUCCAAUAUCUUUGCCUUUAAGUUUCUUCCAAGCUUUCCAUUCUUUUUUUAGGCAUCCCACCUAUUUUUAAGUUGUCUUUGUGAAAAAGCCUUGCCCGUUUCUUUCUCAAAGUUGGUCAUUAUUUUCAACCAUCCAUAUUUUGUGAAAUGAGUACCAGGCCUAUUGCCUUUCAAUAUCUCUUUAAUACAAAUAUCACAAAAUAUUUUUGUUAAUCUCUUAUCCCACAUUGCUUUGACUUUUUCACCACUAACUUCAACCGCCGAAGUACUUAUUUAUUGUGUAUACGAACAGAUUCGUUUCAGCCAGUAAAACAAUCAAGAAAAUCAAAUGUCACAUAUGUAUUUUUUUUACGUGUAUCAAAAUCUAGAUAGGAUCCUAAUAUUUUUUUUUUCUCAAUCAAAUUCAACUUUCCAAGACCGGAAUAAUAACCAAGAAAGAGAACACAACUAAUAAUAGCAUCAAACACAAUUAAAAAGUCAAUAUUGAAUGAAACUGAUUGAGUUAUUAGGAUUGUAUAGUGCACGUUAUGCCAUAAGGCUGAUAAUUUUUAACAUCAUGUUCACUAGUUAAAUGGUUGUAUCAACUUUUUCUCACAACUAAAGAUAAAAAUAUUCUCCAUAUACCAUAUUUGGAAAGUUAUAUGGAUAUUAUAGACCAGAUCAUAAAUCAUUAAACCAUGCAACUUUAAUGGCAAAACAAACAUACUAAUAAAACAUAGAGAGGCUGUUUAAUGCUAAAACAUAUACAAGCUAAAACUGCAUAUGGUCAAUUGAAAAUAUCUAUUAAUUUACAAUUUAUGUAAUACUUUUGAAGGAAUAAAACACCAAAUUACUACUGCAUGACAUCAUGAAAUGACCAUUUGGAAAUGAAAAAAAAAUCACAAAACAAAGAUCAAAAUGAAAAUAACAAGUUGAGAAAGCUAUAAUAAUCUUAAAAGAGUAUAAAUCAAACAAACCUAGAAGUAAAGGAAAGAAAAUUUACACAACUUAUAUAGUACAAAAUAAAUAUAAAAAUUCAAGCUUUCGUCUAUCUAUCUGUCUAUAUAUAUUACUUUAUCUAACAAAUCCAAAUUAGCUGAAAAAUUUACAUUAUCAUCCAUAUAAUUUACGCAAAAAUAUCCUAGUUAAGAACAAAAAUCAAAGAAACAAAUAACUUAAAUCCACCAAAUUUUAAAAAAGAAAAUCUUGACAAGCAAAUCUUUAUGAACCCAAAAUUUUGUUCAUUAAUAAGAGUAAAACACCAAAAAAACAAAAUCCUCAACCUCUAAGCAUAGGGGUAGAGAAGCCAAAAAUGAGAAGCAAAGGGUAAACAAACAUGAAAUUUAAAACAAACCCGAAAAAAGUUCACCCAUAAAUAAUGAAAAGAAGCAUUGAGAAACCAAAUAAUAUUAAACUCAUAAAGAAAGAAAAAAAGAGUAUUUUAGAGGGGAGAAAGAAAGGAAAAGCCAGCAAAUAUAUUUACCUGAGAAAAUAGUUGAAAUCUUUGAAGAGAAAAGAUAACUAAAGAAAGAAAUGGGAGCAAAACAGAGACAGGAGAUGGGAGGGGAAUGGAUUAUGAAGCAUGUGACAGUCUCCUAUAGAUAUAGAGACAAAGGCCAUUAAUUUUUUUUUAAUGCAUAAUGAACAUUUAAAGAGAAAAAGAAGAAAAGAGAGACUCACCUGUGGAGAAGAAGAACCAGAGGAAAAGUAAAGUUCAGACAAAUGAAAAAAUGGGGAAAAAUAGGUAUAACGUUUGAAAAAAUGGAAAAAAAGGAAGAGAACAAAUAGGGUUAAAAAAGUAAUAUCAACCUUAAAAGUACUUUUGGCUGAAAAAAGCACCAAAUUUCUACUUUUUCAUCUGAGAAAAAAAGACUUUUUUUAAGUUGAAAAAGCUUCUACUUUUUACCUCUGUUCUUUAUUACUUUUUAUGUAAAAGCAUUUUUUUCCCUAAAAGCUCAUCUAAAAAUCAAUGUCAAAUGCAACCUAAGUGCAUCAAUGCCCUUUACAAUCUGCUUAGCAAACCCAGAAACAUUAGUUCGAUAUUUAAGCAACCUCACACCAAAUUGUCAUAAAGAAUUUAUGCUCAAAAGGUAAAACAAUUAUAUAACAAAAGACCAAAAGAGAAACAUGAAGAAACUUGGUAAAAUAACACAAGCGUGCAACUUUCUCAAAGAAAAUGAUUAUAACCAACCAUUUUUUUCCCUUCUGAAUAUUAGAUCAAAAAUUACCUCAUCAAGAAGAAAUUCUCGAAAAAAAUUUCUCUUCUCAGACAGUAGAAAUCCUAAGGCUGCUCUUGUUUGAACAAGUUGCUUUGAUUGAGAUUCACUUAGUAGAAAUCUAGGGAAGGAAAUAUCUGCUUACCUUUGUAGAAGACCUAGUUCAAUCAUAUCCCCAUUCAAAUUCUCCCCACCUCCACUUUUUGCUGUAGUUAUGAAAUUCUCAAAGGCUUGCAUCACAUCAAUGAAUCUUUCAGCAUAAAAAACACCUAAUUUCCCGUAUAUUAUAUAACGCAAAGCAUUCUUAGCCACGGGGAUUCAUCAGUGAGUAGUCUCUAACAAUAGAAAAUAAUACAAGGAAAUGGUAAACGUUAUGAUCAGAAAAACAUUGACCACUUAGGAAGACAAAGCACAACAGCAAUGAUACAAAUGUUUGUGCACUCUUUCAUCUUGAUCCUAUACUUUGGAAAUUGGUUAGCCACAUGGAUCCUUAGACAACCUUAAGAAUUGUACUUAAGACAAUAACAUUGAUUUGUUACAUCAAAAGAAACAUGGUAUCCUAGAAGCACUCUUCGGCUAUCAUAAUUUAAUAAAAUAAAACUAAUGAAUCAAACAAUUAACUAUUUAGUCAUCAGAAAUUCAAAAUAACAAUAGUCAGUGCAUAUAUCACAUUAUCCUUACACUUAUAAAUCAAUUUAUUUUCAAAAUAGAAUUAGUAAAAAAAGAAUAUUCAUACCUGUGCAAUUUAAGGAUAGGCUUCAUCCACGAUAGCAAAAUUAGGAUUCGCCACUAAAGCUAUUCCUUCCAACACCCUAAUUGCCCUGAUUAUAAGAGCAAAAUAAGGAGGUAUCCUAAAUGGAUAAUAAAAUGUUAUCUGUGCCAAAUCUGAUGCCAAGUCCUGAAAGUUGAUGUUUUUUGCGCCCCCACCCUCAAGUGCUUAAUCAAAAACCUUUACCAGAACGGGCAAAAUUGGCAUAAAAAAGGAGAAGAGUAAUAAGAUUUGCUCAUGAAUAUUACACACUAUAACCAUGUCGAAGAUAUGCUUAUAUCAAAACACUCACACAGAGUAACAUGGAAGAAGAUUACUUGACAUAAAAAGAACGUCCUAAAAACCCUCUGAUUGCUACAUACUUACCUCUUUUCAACUUUCAAGCUAUUGACACUAGGUUUAUGAAAAUUUCCCUUGAUAGACGAUUUGAUUUCAAUUUCAACAUAUUCCAAGCCAAGACAAGCUAAAUAAGUUAUCAUACAAUUUCAUUUCAUAUCAAUGUUAUAAAUAAAUACCCUAUCCUUUAAGAAAGACAAAGCAUCUUGUGAAAAAAGUUGAGAGAAAUAAAAUCUGCGUCAUCCAAAAGUAACUUUAAAAUCGAAGAAAUAAAAAAAGAAUUUACCUAUUUGACUAAGAAGUGUGGGUUUGCAGGAGUUGUGAGGAAGAAGCUGAGAAAGAGGAAAUAUAUAUAAAUAAAAAAUAAUUAUAAUUGAUACUAACAGUAAAACAGAAAAAGAAGAAUACAAGGGUAGGAGGGAAAAGAAGGGAAAGGAAAGGAAAUGGAGGAAAGAAACUAAAAUGAGAGGAAUUGCUGCAGUGGAGCGGCAGAAAGGAAGAAGGCGUUUGGCUGAAGGAGGGUUGACGAGAAAACAAAAGUGGAAAAUUAUGUGAGGAUUAAAUCAGAAAAAUUCAUUCUAAAACUGCUAUUGACAAUUUAUAUAUAAAAGAGCCAAAAUCACCUAUAAGUUGAAUCACUGGUUGAUAUAAGGAAGAAAAUGAAAGUACCUAGAAAAGAAAGCACUAACAUAAACCCAGAAAGAAACAAAAAUUGAAACGAAAAGAAAAGGUCAACAAUUCGAAAACAAACUAGCAAUGAAUUGAAACAAAACUUAACAAAUUAAAGGGUAUGAUCUUUGCAAUUAAAAGCAUCUUACAAAGUAUUGGGAAGAAGAAGACGGUUAAAAAUAAAGAAACAAUGAAAGGCAUAAAAUCGGUUAAAAUGUGGACAAGUAAAGAACAAGAAGAAAAACAAAAGCUUUACCUCAGAAAGAGAGAAAGAGAGGAAAAGAAACAACAUCGUGUAAUUUGCCUGAGAGGAGAAGAUAUGGGACGGACUGAGGAAAAAGGGAGAGAUAAUAAGAAGAUGAAGAAUAGAAGAAGGAUAGUACUUUUACUUGGAUGAAGAAGGAGAUGGAAAAUGUCUUACAAAAAAAAAAAUCCCUAAGACAUUUUCCCUAAAACGAAUGAGAUUUUACCGUAUCUUGGAAAACAUUUUCCAAAUGUAAAAUGUUUUCAUGCUUCCAAAUAUGGUAAAAUCAGGAAAUAUUUUCUUGAUAAACAAACGGAGCCUAAAAAUAAUUAUAUAUUAAAUAAAAAAUUAAAUUCGAUUCAAUUUUAGAUAAUUAUGAUUUUUAAACUUACAUUUCAUAAAUUAAAAUAUUUCAAUCAAAUCAACUUUCGAUUUAAUUGAUUUUUUUCUCAACCCUAACUGUUACCAUCAUUUCCAGAUCACAUAUUUUAUAUUUUACAACUCAAUCAACAAUUUUAUUAUUUGAGCAACUAACAAAUGAGAAUUCGACAGACUCAAAAAAGAACAAAUAGAUAAAAUGUCAUGUUUAAAAACAAGAGAGCUCCAUGACGCCAAAAGAACGGAAGACCUAAGACAAUUCAUCGCAUUGCCACAAUCUAAUUAAAAAAGAAUUUAUUCACUGCUUGGUGUCUGAAUUAUAUCCAUUUUUUUUAUUUUAAUACUUGAAUUUUAUUAUAUUUUUUUGUACCUAAGAGCUAACUGCGAUAAAAAAAAAUUGAUAUUGAUAACAUGACAUAUCGAUUGAUAAUGUGGCAUGUUGACCAAUGAUAUUGUUGGUUGAACAAAAUUAAUUGGUUAUUGACAAGUCAAAAUUAUUAAAUGUAAAAGAUUAUAGAAGAAUUGUAAGACUUGUUUUUAAAAAUUUUGUAAAAAUUAUUUAAAAAUAUUAAAAAAGUUGUAAAAAACACUAAAAAUCAUAGAAAACUGUAAAACUUAUUAAAACAUUACAAAAUUUGCAGGUUGCAGUGUGUUUGCUUAAUCCGUUGGGUAGUACAUAUUUUGUAGUAUUUAACAGUUUGAAGUUGCAAAAUAAAGAAAUGCCAAAUCAUGGAUUUUUUAUCAUUCAAGAUACAAAAUUUCAAAAAGGCUAAUAAAAAAUAUUAUGCUUUUCUACAAAAAAGAUGAAGCUUGUACUUAUUGUGGAGAAAUAAGAAAAUCUUAUACUUGUUACGGUUAUAUGAGUAGUUCUGCUAAAAAUGUAUUUAUUAAGAUUAAAAUAAAAGACAUUUUAUUAGUCAGCAAGGCCAUUAAGUUGAGGUUUUAAUUUUUUUUUUAUAAAUAUGGUUUUAAAAAGGGUUAAUAUCACAAAUUGCCAAACAUAGGACAUGGAACAUGUAUUUCUUUGGUGCCAAUUUGCUCGAGCAAUAUGAAGUUAUUUGGGGUUCAAGUCAUGCAGGGUUUGGUCCAAUAUUUUAUCAUCACGAGUCGAAAAUCCUUCAAUGCAAUUAAAACCCAAGUCCAACCAGCACAAAAGCGAGGCGAAGGGCGACAGAGACAUGGUUAACAAAGCUUAAUCAUACGAUAGGACCAAAUUGGGAGUGAGAAGGAAAUGGGGACAGAAGGAAGAUUGGAAUGGGGAAAAGGAGAACAGAUUCGUAGCUAAAACCGAUAUUCCAAGAAGCUGGGAAGGGGUUUCCAUCAUGAAAUGGUAGCUAAAAGUGAAGAAACUCGGGGAGGUUCUACAGUUUCACGGGGAGACAGAACAAAUAGAACUAGUUAAAGGAGUCAAUUAUGAGUGAUCUGUUAAUAUGGUAUUUUCCUUAAAUCAUAUAUUAGCUUUUUGAUAAAAAUAAAUGGCCUAAAAUGGGUCUUAGCCAAUCUGCAUUCUCUUCAGCUGUGACCUUUGGCGUGACUUUGUUGUAUUUUCCCUCAUUACUGGAAUUGGGUCCCCUCAUCUUAAAUGUGAAAGCAUUCCAGCAUUUCAAUAAUUGACAUAGAAAAGAAUGUUUUAAGGCGGUGAUUUUUGUUAAUACCACCAUUUUGCCUUGUCAUUGUAGUUAAUGAACAGGGUAGCAUACUUUUUUUGGACAAUGUGCAAGUUCUCUUUUUCAAAUUCAUAGACACGUACAGUGACGCUCGUCUAGGGUAUUGCUAAGUGCCCAUUUUAUAGUCUAAUGUUCCAUAAUAUUAGUUUCAAAUUACCAAAUCUGUUUAAGGUAGGAACUUUUAGUAGGAUAGACCACAAUUGAUAACUAAUUUGGAAAUUCAGAUGCAUGAUGACUUGCCAAGAAAUAGUUUCCGACUAGAAAAUGCAUACAGGACUAGGAGUAGGCUCCAGACUUUAAAAAGACAAAGUCGAAUUCAUAUAAUUUUAAUUAUAUGAAUGACUACGAUAUAUUACAAUGGGACCCCGAAAGACUCAAUGUAGAUAAGUGAUUCCCUUUACUUUCUAAUUGAUUGAAAGUUUCAUAGCCAAGCAUGUUCAAGGACGUGGGUUUGUUCUUGCAAUGCCAGCACCACAACCUGUUGGAAUUGGCACCUCAAAACAAGGGUUUAGAACGAAUGUGUCAUCACCACCUGGAAUCUGGCGAUUUCCACCAAUUGUGCUGCCAAAGUGGCCGCCACUGCUGCCGGUGUGAGUGCCAAUUCCGAUAAUGUGUGGAUUGUGAUGUUUGAAACCUAGUGGCAACAACACUCGUCCAAGGCCUGGAAUGAGUACGGUCAUGUUUUAGAUAUUCAG